RNAcentral lists this ribosomal RNA (435 nucleotides) under uncultured Oscillospiraceae bacterium. RNAcentral describes it as "partial 16S ribosomal RNA". It matches the Rfam family "Bacterial small subunit ribosomal RNA", at positions 341 to 792 of the family's 1533-position model. Lineage: Bacteria; Bacillati; Bacillota; Clostridia; Eubacteriales; Oscillospiraceae. The record is from RNAcentral.
ACGGGAGGCAGCAGUGGGGAAUAUUGCACAAUGGGCGAAAGCCUGAUGCAGCAACGCCGCGUGAGGGAUGACGGUUUUCGGAUUGUAAACCUCUGUCUUUGGUGAAGAAUAAUGACAUUAGCCGAGGAGGAAGCCACGGCUAACUACGUGCCAGCAGCCGCGGUAAUACGUAGGUGGCAAGCGUUAUCCGGAAUUACUGGGUGUAAAGGGAGCGCAGGCGGGAGAGCAAGUCAGCGGUGAAAUGUAUGGGCUUAACCCAUGAACUGCCGUUGAAACUGUUUUUCUUGAGUGGAGUAGAGGCAAGCGGAAUUCCGAGUGUAGCGGUGAAAUGCGUAGAUAUUCGGAGGAACACCAGUGGCGAAGGCGGCUUGCUGGGCUCUAACUGACGCUGAGGCUCGAAAGUGUGGGGAGCAAACAGGAUUAGAUACCCUGGUA